GUAGGUGGCAAGCGUUGUCCGGAAUUAUUGGGCGUAAAGCGCGCGCAGGCGGUUCUUUAAGUCUGAUGUGAAAGCCCACGGCUCAACCGUGGAGGGUCAUUGGAAACUGGGGAACUUGAGUACAGAAGAGGAAAGCGGAAUUCCACGUGUAGCGGUGAAAUGCGUAGAGAUGUGGAGGAACACCAGCGGCGAAGGCGGCUUUCUGGUCUGUAACUGACGCUGAGGCGCGAAAGCGUGGGGAGCAAACAGGGAUUAGAUACCCUGGUAGUCCACGCCGUAAACGAUGAGUGCUAAGUGUUAGGGGGGUUUCCGCCCCCUUAGUGCUGCAGCUAACGCAUUAAGCACUCCGCCUGGGGAUACGGCCGCAAGGCUG
RNAcentral lists this ribosomal RNA (373 nucleotides) under uncultured organism. Its description in RNAcentral is "partial 16S ribosomal RNA". It matches the Rfam family "Bacterial small subunit ribosomal RNA", at positions 527 to 896 of the family's 1533-position model. The record is from RNAcentral.